CCCUUAGAUGUUCUGGGCUGCACGCGCGCUACACUGAUGCAUCCAACAAGUUUUUUCCUUGUUCGAGAGGACUAGGUAAUCUUAUGAGAAUGCAUCGUGAUGGGGAUAGAUUAUUGCAAUUAUUAAUCUUCGACGAGGAAUUCCUAGUAAGCGCGAGUCAUCAGCUCGUGCUGAUUACGUCCCUGCCCUUUGUACACACCGCCCGUCGCUGCAACUGAUUGGGUGACCUGGUGAACAUCUUGGACCGGCCCACUCAAUUUCGAGAGGACUGGAAAAGGCCGUAAAUCAGGUACAUCUAGAAAUUGCAAAAGUCGUAACA
RNAcentral lists this ribosomal RNA (319 nucleotides) under uncultured eukaryote. Its description in RNAcentral is "partial 18S ribosomal RNA". It matches the Rfam family "Eukaryotic small subunit ribosomal RNA", at positions 1470 to 1796 of the family's 1831-position model. The record is from RNAcentral.